Molecule: ribosomal RNA, 254 nt
Filed under: uncultured bacterium
Lineage: Bacteria
Description: partial 16S ribosomal RNA
Rfam family: Bacterial small subunit ribosomal RNA
Source: RNAcentral
UACGGAGGGUGCGAGCGUUGUCCGGAAUCAUUGGGCGUAAAGGGCGCGUAGGCGGCCACCGCAAGUCGACUGUGAAAUCUCCGGGCUUAACCCGGAAAGGUCAGCCGAUACUGCGGGGCUAGAGUGCAGAAGGGGCAACUGGAAUUCUCGGUGUAGCGGUGAAAUGCGUAGAUAUCGAGAGGAACACCUGCGGCGAAGGCGGGUUGCUGGGCUGACACUGACGCUGAGGCGCGAAAGCUAGGGGAGCGAACGGG